AUUGAACGCUGGCGGCAGGCCUAACACAUGCAAGUCGAGCGGAUGAAGGGAGCUUGCUCCUGGAUUCAGCGGCGGACGGGUGAGUAAUGCCUAGGAAUCUGCCUGGUAGCGGGGGAUAACGUCCGGAAACGGGCGCUAAUACCGCAUACGUCCUGAGGGAGAAAGUGGGGGAUCUUCGGACCUCACGCUAUCAGAUGAGCCUAGGUCGGACUAGCUAGUUGGUGGGGUAAAGGCCUACCAAGGCGACGAUCCGUAACUGGUCUGAGAGGAUGAUCAGUCACACUGGAACUGAGACACGGUCCAGACUCCUACGGGAGGCAGCAGUGGGGAAUAUUGGACAAUGGGCGAAAGCCUGAUCCAGCCAUGCCGCGUGUGAAGAAGGUCUUCGGAUUGUAAAGCACUUUAAGUUGGGAGGAAGGGCAGUAAGUUAAUACCUUGCUGUUUUGACGUUACCAACAGAAUAAGCACCGGCUAACUUCGUG
RNAcentral lists this ribosomal RNA (482 nucleotides) under uncultured bacterium. Its description in RNAcentral is "partial 16S ribosomal RNA". It matches the Rfam family "Bacterial small subunit ribosomal RNA", at positions 30 to 507 of the family's 1533-position model. The record is from RNAcentral.